Molecule: ribosomal RNA, 434 nt
Filed under: uncultured Lachnospiraceae bacterium
Lineage: Bacteria; Bacillati; Bacillota; Clostridia; Lachnospirales; Lachnospiraceae
Description: partial 16S ribosomal RNA
Rfam family: Bacterial small subunit ribosomal RNA
Source: RNAcentral
ACGGAAGGCAGCAGUGGGGAAUAUUGCACAAUGGGCGAAAGCCUGAUGCAGCGGCGCCGCGUGAGCGAAGAAGUAUUUCGGUAUGUAAAGCUCUAUCAGCAGGGAAGAUAAUGACGGUACCUGACUAAGAAGCACCGGCUAAAUACGUGCCAGCAGCCGCGGUAAUACGCAUGGUGCAAGCGUUAUCCGGAUUUACUGGGUGUAAAGGGAGCGCAGGCGGUACGGCAAGUCUGAUGUGAAAGCCCGGGGCUCAACCCCGGUACUGCAUUGGAAACUGUCGAACUAGAGUGUCGGAGGGGUAAGUGGAAUUCCUAGUGUAGCGGUGAAAUGCGUAGAUAUUAGGAGGAACACCAGUGGCGAAGGCGGCUUACUGGACGACAACUGACGCUGAGGCUCGAAAGCGUGGGGAGCAAACAGGAUUAGAUACCCUGGUA